This 77-nucleotide transfer RNA is filed under the name Erinaceus europaeus (western European hedgehog). It matches the Rfam family "tRNA". Rfam says of the family: Transfer RNA (tRNA) molecules are approximately 80 nucleotides in length. Their secondary structure includes four short double-helical elements and three loops (D, anti-codon, and T loops). Further hydrogen bonds mediate the characteristic L-shaped molecular structure. tRNAs have two regions of fundamental functional importance: the anti-codon, which is responsible for specific mRNA codon recognition, and the 3' end, to which the tRNAs corresponding amino acid is attached (by aminoacyl-tRNA synthetases). tRNAs cope with the degeneracy of the genetic code in two manners: having more than one tRNA (with a specific anti-codon) for a particular amino acid; and 'wobble' base-pairing, i.e. permitting non-standard base-pairing at the 3rd anti-codon position. The record is from Rfam by way of RNAcentral. Lineage: Eukaryota; Metazoa; Chordata; Mammalia; Eulipotyphla; Erinaceidae.
GGAGAGGUAGCUCAGUGGUAGAGCGCAAGACUUGAAUGCUUGACUCGGAGACUCCAGACUCAAUUCUGGCAGAGCCA